This 253-nucleotide ribosomal RNA is filed under the name uncultured bacterium. RNAcentral's name for it is "partial 16S ribosomal RNA". It matches the Rfam family "Bacterial small subunit ribosomal RNA", at positions 524 to 776 of the family's 1533-position model. The record is from RNAcentral.
UACGAAGGGGGCUAGCGUUGUUCGGAAUGACUGGGCGUAAAGGGAGCGUAGGUGGUUUUGUUUGUCUGGUGUGAAAGUCGAGGGCUUAACCUUCGGAUUGCAUUGGAAACGGCAAGACUUGAGUUCGAGAGGGGAGUAUGGAAUUGCGCGUGUAGAGGUGAAAUUCGUAGAUAUGCGCAAGAACACCAAAGGCGAAGGCAUUACUCUGGCUCGAUACUGACACUGAGGUGCGAAAGCGUGGGGAGCAAACAGG